Molecule: long non-coding RNA, 199 nt
Organism: Dermatophagoides pteronyssinus (European house dust mite)
Lineage: Eukaryota; Metazoa; Arthropoda; Arachnida; Sarcoptiformes; Pyroglyphidae
Source: RefSeq, a predicted model, not a curated record
AACAAAAAAACGACGCCAGUCUGUCUUGACAACACCUGAGAAUUUUACCUGUCUACCCUUGUUUUGUUAAAAAAAUAGUCUUUUCUUACGGUCCUUAUGGGUGCUGUGAAUGUUUUCGUACAAACACACACACACAACUAACCAGCCAGUUCUUUCCAAUUAUACACCUCACAUAGGAAAAAGGAAAACCAGCCUGUCC